RNAcentral lists this transfer RNA (77 nucleotides) under Janibacter indicus. Its description in RNAcentral is "tRNA-Val". It matches the Rfam family "tRNA". Rfam says of the family: Transfer RNA (tRNA) molecules are approximately 80 nucleotides in length. Their secondary structure includes four short double-helical elements and three loops (D, anti-codon, and T loops). Lineage: Bacteria; Bacillati; Actinomycetota; Actinomycetes; Micrococcales; Intrasporangiaceae. The record is from RNAcentral.
GGACGUAUAGCUCAGUUGGUUAGAGCGUUCGCUUCACACGCGAAAGGUCAGGGGUUCGAGUCCCUUUACGUCCACAA